AUUGAACGCUGGCGGCAGGCCUAACACAUGCAAGUCGGACGGUAGCACAGGGGAGCUUGCUCCUCGGGUGACGAGUGGCGGACGGGUGAGUAAUGUCUGGGGAUCUGCCCGAUAGAGGGGGAUAACCACUGGAAACGGUGGCUAAUACCGCAUAACGUCGCAAGACCAAAGAGGGGGACCUUCGGGCCUCUCACUAUCGGAUGAACCCAGAUGGGAUUAGCUAGUAGGCGGGGUAAUGGCCCACCUAGGCGACGAUCCCUAGCUGGUCUGAGAGGAUGACCAGCCACACUGGAACUGAGACACGGUCCAGACUCCUACGGGAGGCAGCAGUGGGGAAUAUUGCACAAUGGGCGCAAGCCUGAUGCAGCCAUGCCGCGUGUAUGAAGAAGGCCUUCGGGUUGUAAAGUACUUUCAGCGGGGAGGAAGGCGGUGAGGUUAAUAACCUUGCCGAUUGACGUUACCCGCAGAAGAAGCACCGGCUAACUCCGUGCCAGCCGCCGCAGUAA
Molecule: ribosomal RNA, 506 nt
Filed under: uncultured bacterium
Lineage: Bacteria
Description: partial 16S ribosomal RNA
Rfam family: Bacterial small subunit ribosomal RNA
Source: RNAcentral